AUUGAAUGUUACUUGCAGCUGAUGAGCUCCAAAAAGAGAAGCCUCUUAGGUCCUGUAGUACUGGCCUGCAAGUGU
Molecule: non-coding RNA, 75 nt
Filed under: Corvus brachyrhynchos (American crow)
Lineage: Eukaryota; Metazoa; Chordata; Aves; Passeriformes; Corvidae
Also listed under: 1 other name
Source: RNAcentral